Molecule: ribosomal RNA, 500 nt
Filed under: uncultured bacterium
Lineage: Bacteria
Description: partial 16S ribosomal RNA
Rfam family: Bacterial small subunit ribosomal RNA
Source: RNAcentral
AUUGAACGCUGGCGGCAUGCCUUACACAUGCAAGUCGAACGGCAGCACGGGAGCAAUCCUGGUGGCGAGUGGCGAACGGGUGAGUAAUAUAUCGGAACGUGCCCAGUCGUGGGGGAUAACGCAGCGAAAGCUGUGCUAAUACCGCAUACGAUCUAUGGAUGAAAGCGGGGGAUCGCAAGACCUCGCGCGAUUGGAGCGGCCGAUAUCAGAUUAGCUAGUUGGUGAGGUAAAGGCUCACCAAGGCGACGAUCUGUAGCUGGUCUGAGAGGACGACCAGCCACACUGGAACUGAGACACGGUCCAGACUCCUACGGGAGGCGGCAGUGGGGAAUUUUGGACAAUGGGCGCAAGCCUGAUCCAGCAAUGCCGCGUGCAGGAUGAAGGCCUUCGGGUUGUAAACUGCUUUUGUACGGAACGAAACGGUGAGCUCUAAUACAGUUUGCUAAUGACGGUACCGUAAGAAUAAGCACCGGCUAACUACGUGCCAGCAGCCGCAGUAA